GGCCUCCUGAUGCUCACCACAGGCUGCGUUCUUACACGGACUGUGUGGAAGGAGGCGGUAGAGUAAACCCACCCCAUGUACACCUCAGCUCAGGCCCUGUGCCUGGUCUGUUCUGUGAAUGGGGGAACAUAG
This is a small nucleolar RNA of Cebus imitator (Panamanian white-faced capuchin), 132 nucleotides long. Lineage: Eukaryota; Metazoa; Chordata; Mammalia; Primates; Cebidae. The record is from Ensembl.